GUACGAGGACGACGCUGGCGGCGUGCUUAACACAUGCAAGUCGAACGGAAAGGCCCUGCUUUUGUGGGGUGCUCGAGUGGCGAACGGGUGAGUAACACGUGAGUAACCUGCCCUUGACUUUGGGAUAACUUCAGGAAACUGGGGCUAAUACCGGAUAGGAGCUCCUGCUGCAUGGUGGGGGUUGGAAAGUUUCGGCGGUUGGGGAUGGACUCGCGGCUUAUCAGCUUGUUGGUGGGGUAGUGGCUUACCAAGGCUUUGACGGGUAGCCGGCCUGAGAGGGUGACCGGCCACAUUGGGACUGAGAUACGGCCCAGACUCCUACGGGAGGCAGCAGUGGGGAAUAUUGCACAAUGGGCGGAAGCCUGAUGCAGCAACGCCGCGUGCGGGAUGACGGCCUUCGGGUUGUAAACCGCUUUCGCCUGUGACGAAGCGUGAGUGACGGUAAUGGGUAAAGAAGCACCGGCUAACUACGUG
Molecule: ribosomal RNA, 474 nt
Filed under: uncultured bacterium
Lineage: Bacteria
Description: bacterial SSU rRNA
Rfam family: Bacterial small subunit ribosomal RNA
Source: RNAcentral